Molecule: long non-coding RNA, 428 nt
Filed under: Nicotiana tabacum (common tobacco)
Lineage: Eukaryota; Viridiplantae; Streptophyta; Magnoliopsida; Solanales; Solanaceae
Description: long non-coding RNA (NTAB_LNC000585)
Source: RNAcentral
GAGUAUCGAGAUCAAAGAGCCUUCAAAGCCUAAGGCUCCUGAAAAGCCCAAGGAGCCCGCAAAACCUAAAGAACCGGAGAAACCUAAAGUGCCCGAGAAGCCCAAAGUGCCUGAGAAGCCUAAAGAACCAGAAAAGCCCAAGCAGCCGGAGAAACCCAAAGAGCCCGAGAAGCCUAAGGAGCCUGAGAAGCCAAAAGAACCGGAAAAACCAAAGGAACCUACGAAACCCAAGGAACCCGAGAAGCCCAAAGAGCCUGAAAAGCCCAAGGAACCCGAGAAGCCCAAACAACCUGAAAAGCCCAAAGAACCUGAGAAGCCCAAGGAAGCUCCUAAACCCGCACCGGUAGCUCCACCACCACAACCACCACCACCGUAUGCUCCAGAGCCAGUGAUAGUGAUGCCAGUACAAGGAUACCCGCAACAACCGC